RNAcentral lists this long non-coding RNA (1124 nucleotides) under Piliocolobus tephrosceles (Ugandan red Colobus). RNAcentral describes it as "lncRNA (ENSPTEG00000006875.1)". Lineage: Eukaryota; Metazoa; Chordata; Mammalia; Primates; Cercopithecidae. The record is from RNAcentral.
AGUUAAACAUAAAUACGUGUAAUUACAAUUUAUUAGUGGCAAUACCAGAAACAAUUGAAAAUUUGUUUAUACAUAAUUUACUAAAUUGGGUAUUUAAAACCCACCAGUUUUGUUCCUUAUCUUUUAUUUACAAUUCGUUAGCAGCCUCUUAUUACUAUGGGUUGAAAACAGCCCUUAUCGUCGAUUUGGGUGAAAGUGGAAGCAGAAUAACUCCAAUUGCAGAAAAUCAUGGAAUAUUUUUAGAGAGCACACGAUCUUGCGAAAUAGGUGGCUAUCUAAUAAGCAAAUACAUUUCAAAUUUUGUCAAAAUUAAUGAUACAUAUAUUGAUUAUAUACUUAUUCAGAAUUAUAAAGAAUCAACUAGUUAUGUAAGUCUUGAUGUAGAUAGUAAUAUAAAGUUGGCAACAGAAUGUAAUGGCUUAGUAAAACCUUAUAAAAUACCUUAUAGUAAUAUAUAUAUAGACCCUAAAGCUGAAGUAUUAAGUCAUGAAAUAUAUUUUAAACCUGAGUUUUUAGCACAUUUACCAGGAAAUUUUUAUAAACAAAAUAUUAUAUCAUUAAAUAUUUUAAUUUUUGAAUGUAUUAAUGCAUGUCCUAUGGAUUUAAGAAAAAGUAUGUUAAACAACAUUGUAUUAGUAGGUGGAGUAUCUAAUUGUACUAAUAUAUGUGAAAGAUUACAUAACGAAUUAAUGAAUAUUUUACAAAAUAAAAAUUAUAGUCAAAAUACAACAGUCCAUAUAAAACACAUGAGAAUGGCUAAUAUUGCUUCUUAUUUGGGUAGUAAAAAAUAUGGAAAAACCCUUUAUUAUAAUAAAAAAAAAAUGGAUUACCAGAGAAGAAUAUUGUACGUCACCAAAAAGUCAAAUUAUACAGAAGCUCUUAAUGUGGGCGAAUGUUUUAUAAUGUAUAUUAUGUCACAUGUAUUACUACUAUCUACCUUUUUAAGCUUUAACAUACGUGAAUGUUACUAUGUUUCAUUAACAAAUAGUAAACAUAGUCAGCUAAUGUUCAUGCAACAUGCGUACAUAUAUAUAUAUAUAUAUAUAUAAUGGUAUAAAUAUCUGUUUAUUUACACAAUCGAUAGAGGACGUACAUAAAAAAAAACAAAAAAAAAAAAAGCAAAA